AGUGAACGCUGGCGGUAGGCCUAACACAUGCAAGUCGAACGACAGCACAGUAAGAGCUUGCUCUUACGGGUGGCGAGUGGCGGACGGGUGAGGAAUACAUCGGAAUCUACUUUUUCGUGGGGGAUAACGUAGGGAAACUUACGCUAAUACCGCAUACGACCUACGGGUGAAAGCAGGGGAUCUUCGGACCUUGCGCGAUUGAAUGAGCCGAUGUCGGAUUAGCUAGUUGGCGGGGUAAAGGCCCACCAAGGCGACGAUCCGUAGCUGGUCUGAGAGGAUGAUCAGCCCCACUGGAACUGAGACACGGUCCAGACUCCUACGGGAGGCAGCAGUGGGGAAUAUUGGACAAUGGGCGCAAGCCUGAUCCAGCCAUACCGCGUGGGUGAAGAAGGCCGUCGGGUUGUAAAGCCCUUUUGUUGGGAAAGAAAAGCAGCAGGUUAAUACCCCGCUGUUCUGACGGUACCCAAAGAAUAAGCACCGGCUAACUUCGUG
This 492-nucleotide ribosomal RNA is filed under the name uncultured bacterium. Its description in RNAcentral is "partial 16S ribosomal RNA". It matches the Rfam family "Bacterial small subunit ribosomal RNA", at positions 29 to 507 of the family's 1533-position model. The record is from RNAcentral.